Molecule: ribosomal RNA, 492 nt
Filed under: uncultured bacterium
Lineage: Bacteria
Description: partial 16S ribosomal RNA
Rfam family: Bacterial small subunit ribosomal RNA
Source: RNAcentral
AGUGAACGCUGGCGGUAGGCCUAACACAUGCAAGUCGAACGGCAGCACAGUAAGAGCUUGCUCUUACGGGUGGCGAGUGGCGGACGGGUGAGGAAUACAUCGGAAUCUACUUUUUCGUGGGGGAUAACGUAGGGAAACUUACGCUAAUACCGCAUACGACCUACGGGUGAAAGCAGGGGAUCUUCGGACCUUGUGCGAUUUAAUGAGCCGAUGUCGGAUUAGCUAGUUGGCGGGGUAAUGGCCCACCAAGGCGACGAUCCGUAGCUGGUCUGAGAGGAUGGUCAGCGACCCUGGAGCUGAGACACGGUCCAGACGCCUACGGUACGGAGCAGUGGGGAAUGUUGGACAAUGGGCGCAAGCCUGAUCCAGCCAUACCGCGUGGGUGAAGAAGGCCUUCGGGUUGUAAAGCCCUUUUGUUGGGAAAGAAAAGCAGCAGGUUAAUACCCCGCUGUUCUGACAGUACCCAAAGAAUAAGCACCGGCUAACUUCGUG